This is an RNA transcript of Monopterus albus (swamp eel), 1626 nucleotides long. It is a transcript of the gene named phosphatidylinositol glycan anchor biosynthesis, class C, with no coding region annotated. Lineage: Eukaryota; Metazoa; Chordata; Actinopteri; Synbranchiformes; Synbranchidae. The record is from RefSeq and is a predicted model, not a curated record. The transcript has 4 exons.
UGGUUAAUGAUCCAACAACGGGGGGCGCUGUGAUCUCGGAUGCAUUACUUCACUUCCGGGAUUAAGGCAUGUUGAGACUGUCGCAUCGGUGCCGAAUAUAUCUCAUCCCAGGGUGAUGGGGCCAGACAGUGCCCCAGGUCCAGCUGUGCCCUGGCAGAAGGUGCUGUGGGAGCACCAGCCGUACCCUGAUAACUAUGUGGACCAGCGGUUCCUAGAAGAAUUGCGGAGGAAUGAGGGCAUCCGGCAGUACCACUACUGGGCUGUGGUGAGAGAAGCAGGCUUUGUGGGACAGCAGUUGUCAUGUGUGGCCAUUUUCAUCACCCUGUGGCUCUACAUGGAGCAGGGUCUGCUGUCCCCUGAGAAAUUGCUGUUGACCACCCUUGUCUGUGCCCUGCUGGGUUAUGGACUGCACCAAGCCUUGACAUUUCAGGUUGAAUCAGGCUGUGAACCCCGGACCCAUCUAGCCGACUUACAGAGUGCCACUCUUUUUCUUUCCUUCACCUUUGGUUUCUCGCCAGUUCUAAAGACACUAACAGAAUCCGUGAGUACAGACACAGUGUAUGCGAUGUCUGCUGUGAUGUUGUUGGCCCACCUGGUGUCUUUCCCUUAUGCCCAGCCCUCACCCCCAGGCAGCCUCUCCCUAAAUGCAGCCCUGUUUGCCUCUGUGUGUUUAGCCUCACGGUUGCCAGGGGCUCUGCACACCUUCGCCAUGCUCAGCUGUGCCCUUCUGGUAUUUGCUCUCUGGCCCUGCUUGCUGCAGAAGCUGAGGGAGAAUGCCCCUAACCAGUUUAUUGGGGUGUGUGUGGGAGUGUGUUUAGGAGGGGUCGGAGGUCUGGGGUCCCUCUCACCAGGUGGAGCCGUGCUGUUGGCCCUGGCCCUAGGAAGUGUUACGCUACUCUGUCCUUUACUAUUAGUCAGGCUGCAGAAACAAAAGGACAACAUCCAAGGACCCUGGGAUGAGGCUGAGAUUCAUGAGGACCUCAGCCACUUCCUUCACUAAUGGACAGAACAGUGCUCCUGAUCAAACUGAUAUUGAAAGAGUAAGCAAAUGGAAAAUUUGCUGUGAACUAAUGUACUCACACACACUGUUUUGUAAGUGUUGUAUGGAAAUAUUAGCUCUUUUAUUACUGCUCCACAUGUUUGGGCAACCAUGACAAUUUGUUAUUCUCUUGCAGGGAAUAUCAAGAUGUUUUUAAUGUUCAAGCUGCUACUAUCUUGUAAACUUGUGAGAAGUCCAGUGUAAUAAGCCAGUAUCAGUACGGAUCACAGGGCAAGAGAAAUACGGCAGUACUGCUCUCACAAAACUGUCAGCCAUGCUGCCACACUCCAGACUACCCGUCGUAUGGAUUAGGUUCUCUGACUUUGCAGCCUCGGCCCGGCCCAUGCAUUGAUCCUGGCUGCGUGUGUGAUAACUGAUGAGACACCAUACUGUCAAUUACUGUCAAUCAUGGGCAAAGGAGACGUUGCUGGUUCCAUAGACAAGGUUACCAUCUGCCAUAAUAGGCUCACUGGAUCUGGCAGAGGGUCAUGAUGAGGGUGGUCAUUUCUAGAUGGGCCAAUACCAGCGCUGGAACCUGAUUGUUGUCCCUGUAGAUGAGUGAGUGAACACCCCUCAGGCUUGGCACA